UACGUAGGGGGCAAGCGUUAUCCGGAUUUACUGGGUGUAAAGGGAGCGUAGGCGGUAAUGCAAGUCAGAAGUGAAAGCCCGGGGCUCAACUCCGGGACUGCUUUUGAAACUGUGUUGCUAGAUUGCAGGAGAGGUAAGUGGAAUUCCUAGUGUAGCGGUGAAAUGCGUAGAUAUUAGGAAGAACACCAGUGGCGAAGGCGGCUUACUGGACUGUAAAUGACGCUGAGGCUCGAAAGCGUGGGGAGCAAACAGG
RNAcentral lists this ribosomal RNA (253 nucleotides) under uncultured bacterium. RNAcentral's name for it is "partial 16S ribosomal RNA". It matches the Rfam family "Bacterial small subunit ribosomal RNA", at positions 524 to 776 of the family's 1533-position model. The record is from RNAcentral.